This 93-nucleotide transfer RNA is filed under the name Streptomyces nigrescens. Its description in RNAcentral is "tRNA-Pro". The record is from RNAcentral. Lineage: Bacteria; Bacillati; Actinomycetota; Actinomycetes; Kitasatosporales; Streptomycetaceae.
AUCUUGGGGAGCGUCGAGCGCUCGGCGUUCAGGGCGCGCUGGGCGAGGUAGGCGCCGCUGAUGGCCUGCCGGGUGGCCUCCGGCCCACGGUCC